RNAcentral lists this small RNA (129 nucleotides) under Shigella sonnei. RNAcentral's name for it is "partial RtT sRNA". It matches the Rfam family "RtT RNA". From Rfam's summary of the family: This family represents a bacterial cis-regulatory element known as RtT RNA. The exact function of RtT is unknown although it is thought that it may be involved in changing the cellular response in relation to amino acid starvation. Lineage: Bacteria; Pseudomonadati; Pseudomonadota; Gammaproteobacteria; Enterobacterales; Enterobacteriaceae. The record is from RNAcentral.
UGCAUUUGAAGCCCAUGAGGAUGAGAACCUCCGGGGGCGGGGAGGUUCGACUCGAGCGAAGCGAGAGAACGUUGCGCCAGCAACGGCCCGCAGGGCGAGCCACGAAGUGGCGAGUAAUCCUCUAUCACC